UGGGGAAUCUUCCGCAAUGGGCGCAAGCCUGACGGAGCAACGCCGCGUGAAUGAAGAAGGUCUUCGGAUCGUAAAGUUCUGUUCUUAGGGAAGAAGUCUUAGGUUGUGAAUAAUGACUUAAGGUGACGGUACCUAUGGAGAAAGCUCCGGCUAACUACGUGCCAGCAGCCGCGGUAAUACGUAGGGAGCGAGCGUUGUCCGGAAUUACUGGGCGUAAAGGGCGCGUAGGCGGGAACUUAAGUUAGAUGUGAAAACUCCGGGCUUAACCUGGAGACUGCAUUUAAAACUGGGUUUCUUGAGGGC
RNAcentral lists this ribosomal RNA (303 nucleotides) under uncultured bacterium. Its description in RNAcentral is "bacterial SSU rRNA". It matches the Rfam family "Bacterial small subunit ribosomal RNA", at positions 355 to 649 of the family's 1533-position model. The record is from RNAcentral.